This 186-nucleotide ribosomal RNA is filed under the name uncultured bacterium. RNAcentral describes it as "partial 16S ribosomal RNA". It matches the Rfam family "Bacterial small subunit ribosomal RNA", at positions 524 to 708 of the family's 1533-position model. The record is from RNAcentral.
UACGGAGGGUGCAAGCGUUAAUCGGAAUUACUGGGCGUAAAGCGCGCGUAGGUGGUUUGAUAAGCGAGAUGUGAAAGCCCCGGGCUUAACCUGGGAACGGCAUUUCGAACUGUCAGGCUAGAGUAUGGUAGAGGAGUGUGGAAUUUCCAGGUGUAGCGGUGAAAUGCGUAGAGUAUGUGAGGAACA